Molecule: long non-coding RNA, 1420 nt
Filed under: Elaeis guineensis (African oil palm)
Lineage: Eukaryota; Viridiplantae; Streptophyta; Magnoliopsida; Arecales; Arecaceae
Description: long non-coding RNA (EGUI_LNC010364)
Source: RNAcentral
UGAUGGCAAACCAUAUUAGCCACGCUCUAGCUUGCAAUGGCAAUCUCAAGUGUCACAUUCCUGUCCGUAGCGGAGCUUUUCUCUGUUUAAUGUAGCUAAUCCAAAUAUUCUUUCUUAAUCAUCAAUUUAUUAAAUCUCAAUUUAUGUCAAAAAAAUACUGCAUCAUAUUAUAUUUUUUUUUAAUUCUCAAUAGUCGAUAUCACAUUCCAAACUGUCCAAAAAACCAUCGUUAUUUGAUAUAAACAUAUGAUACAAAAUAUACUGAUAAUUAUAUCAGUAAAUAUAAAAUAAAUAUCAAUCAUAAAAAAUUAAAUCAUACAAUACAAAAAUAAAUAUAAAUAUACCGAUAUUUGUGUCCAACAAUCCUUACUUCUAUUUAUGAUUGACUCAACAUAAUAAUCAAUGAACUUCACAAUCUACAAACUCAAAAACAAUAUGUUUCGCUCGACAUCUUCUUAUGCAAACAAUCAUACUUUUAUAUGAUCAGAAUCAAACAUAAAAAUCAUAAAUGAUUAGAGAUAGUAGAAAAUUAUAAUAAACGAUCCUAAUAUUAUAAAUCUAGAUUUUUUUCUAACAUCAAUCAAGAUCUGAAUUUGUUUAAGUAUUUGGAUUCUCCACUAACCUAUAAAUUUUUUAGAGAGAAUAAAUUCACGAAGAUAGAGAAGCAGUUUGGAAAGAAAAAAUUUUAGAAAGAGAAAGUUGGGAGAGAAAUUGAUAGGGAAAGUAUGAAUAGAGAAAAUAAAGGGAGGAUGGUAGGAGGGGGGAGAUUUUUUUUUUCUUUUUUUUUUUUCUUCUUUUUUCUUUUUCUUUUUCUUUUUCUUUUUUUUCUUCUUCGUUUUCUUUCUUCUCUUCUCCGUUGAAAUUAGGGGAAGGGGACGAUGGCUUAGGACGGCCACACCCACGGCGGCGACCAUGACCGGCGGUGAUGGUGGCUCUAGCCUGUAGCUGUCCGACCAUGGCCACAUCCGACGACAACGAUCGGUGUGGUGGAGGGAAAAAAAAGAAAAAAACAGAGAAAUCUCAGUUGUCCAAGAAAUCCGGCGACUUAUCGGGCUUAAUCCAACAACGGCGAGGCUCUAAAAGGAGGAGAAGGGAGAGAACCUUACUUGGGUUCGACGACACCCACGGAGGGAGAUCCGGCGAUCUCUCCGAUGAAAUCCAGCGAAGAAAACUCGACGGAAAAAUCCAAAAUCAACGGUGAUUUCUCAUGAAAUUUAAUGGUGGAAAUCUGCGGGAGGGGGAUCACUAUUUAUAGGCAUAAUUAGUGGUGUUUUAGUCCGAUUUUUAGAGGGUAUAAUCCUAGUGUUUGAUGGAAAUCGAGAGAGAAGAAUCCCGGUCGGAUUCCUCUUCCUCUCCUCUCACGUAUUCCCUUUCUUUUUUUUUUUUUUUUUUUUUUGCCCUACUUUUACGUUCGUGCUGG